AAGAGAAGAGGAUUCAAGUAAGAACUGCUAAUUACUUAUUACCACAGUUAAACUCUAUGGUUCUCUUG
Molecule: transfer RNA, 68 nt
Filed under: Scolecomorphus vittatus
Lineage: Eukaryota; Metazoa; Chordata; Amphibia; Gymnophiona; Scolecomorphidae
Description: tRNA-Ser
Source: RNAcentral